GCGGACGUGGCGGAAUUGGUAUACGCGCAUGCUUGAGGUGCAUGUGGGGCAACCCGUGGGAGUUCAAGUCUCCCCGUCCGCACCA
Molecule: transfer RNA, 85 nt
Filed under: Candidatus Kuenenbacteria bacterium
Lineage: Bacteria; Candidatus Kueneniibacteriota
Description: tRNA-Leu
Rfam family: tRNA
About the family: Transfer RNA (tRNA) molecules are approximately 80 nucleotides in length. Their secondary structure includes four short double-helical elements and three loops (D, anti-codon, and T loops).
Source: RNAcentral